GUGUCAGCAGCCGCGGUAAUACAGAGGGUGCAAACGUUGCUCGGAAUUAUUGGGCGUAAAGCGCGUGUAGGCGGCUUGUUAAGUUGGUUGUGAAAACCCAUGGCUCAACCAUGGAAGGGCGUCCAAAACUGGCAAGCUAGAGUCCCGACGAGGAUGGCGGAAUUCCCAGUGUAGAGGUGAAAUUCGUAGAUAUUGGGAGGAACACCGGUGGCGAAGGCGGCCAUCUGGGAGGGCACUGACGCUGAGACGCGAAAGCGUGGGGAGCAAACAGGAUUAGAAACCCCCGUAGUCC
This 292-nucleotide ribosomal RNA is filed under the name uncultured bacterium. RNAcentral's name for it is "partial 16S ribosomal RNA". It matches the Rfam family "Bacterial small subunit ribosomal RNA", at positions 505 to 796 of the family's 1533-position model. The record is from RNAcentral.